RNAcentral lists this ribosomal RNA (342 nucleotides) under Triticum aestivum (bread wheat). Its description in RNAcentral is "partial small subunit ribosomal RNA". Lineage: Eukaryota; Viridiplantae; Streptophyta; Magnoliopsida; Poales; Poaceae. The record is from RNAcentral.
AUGGAGAAGGGCAGAGUGGGAGAAAGAUAUCUGCUCACCGGCGAAAACUUGUCAUUCAUACAUAUUUUCAAUAUGGCUGCUAAUAUCACAAACACAAAGGCCCCGUACUUCCACGUACCACUCUGGCUGAUUGAAAUAUAUGGCUGGAUUUCAGUUUUCAUUGCUCGAAUCACUGGAAAGCUCCCUCUUAUCAGUUACCCCACGGUUCGUGUUAUUAGACAUCAAUGGGCGUAUUCAUGUGACAAAGCAAAGAGGGAACUGGGCUACAAUCCAAGAAACUUGACUGAAGGUCUAGCUGAGAUGCUUUUAUGGCUGAAGAACGAGAAACUGAUCAAAUUUUAG